CCUACGGGUGGCAGCAGUGGGGAAUAUUGCACAAUGGGGGAAACCCUGAUGCAGCCACGCCGCGUGAGCGAUGAAGGCCUUCGGGUCGUAAAGCUCUGUCCUAAGGGAAGAAUACUGACGGUACCUUAGGAGGAAGCCCCGGCUAACUACGUGCCAGCAGCGGCGGUAAAACGUAGGGGGCUAGCGUCAUCCGGAAUUACUGGGCGUGAAGGGAGCGUAGGCGGCCCUUCAAGUCAGAGGUGAAAGGCUACGGUUUAACGGUAGUAAGCCUUUGAAACUGUAGGGCGUGUGUGCAGGAGAGGAGAGUGGAAUUCUUAGGGUAGCGGAGAAAUGCGUAGAUAUUGGGAGGUACACCAGUUGCGAAGGCGGCUCUCUGGACUGUAACUGACGCUGAGGCACGAAAGCGUGGGGAGCGAACAGGAUUAGAUACCCCUGUAGUC
RNAcentral lists this ribosomal RNA (440 nucleotides) under uncultured bacterium. RNAcentral describes it as "bacterial SSU rRNA". It matches the Rfam family "Bacterial small subunit ribosomal RNA", at positions 338 to 795 of the family's 1533-position model. The record is from RNAcentral.